GGGGAAUCUUGGACAAUGGGCGAAAGCCUGAUCCAGCCAUGCCGCGUGGAUGAUGAAGGCCCUAGGGUUGUAAAAUCCUUUCGUUGGGGACGAUAAUGACGGUACCCAAAGAAGAAGCUCCGGCUAACUUCGUGCCAGCAGCCGCGGUAAUACGAAGGGGGCUAGCGUUGUUCGGAUUUACUGGGCGUAAAGCGCGUGUAGGCGGGUCGUUAAGUUGGGGGUGAAAUCCCGAGGCUCAACCUCGGAACUGCCUUCAAAACUGGCGACCUGGACCCAAGUAGAGGCAAGUGGAAUUGCGAGUGUAGAGGUGAAAUUCGUAGAUAUUCGCAGGAACACCAGUGGCGAAGGCGACUUGCUGGACUUGUGGUGACGCUGAGACGCGAAAGCGUGGGGAGCAAAC
This 400-nucleotide ribosomal RNA is filed under the name uncultured bacterium. RNAcentral describes it as "bacterial SSU rRNA". It matches the Rfam family "Bacterial small subunit ribosomal RNA", at positions 356 to 773 of the family's 1533-position model. The record is from RNAcentral.